AAAUUUUGAUCCAUUAAUUCAACCUUUUGUCACAUUUAUUCCUUCAUCUAAUCCUAGUACAAAUUUUAGAACCGCUCGCAUCUAAAACACGCUUUACACUGAUCUUUGAUUUUUUUGUGCUAGAACUUUUGCUCACACUCCGAAAAAUCCCAUCUUUCUUCUUCCAUUUCCACAAGUUUCCCUCCAAAAGAUCCUUCAAAAACUUAACCACAGAUGACCCUCUAAUCUUGCUGGAAUCUGCAGCCUUGAAAUCACAAUUGAUUCUUUUACAUUUCUUGAUCCACUUAGAUAAGGCAAAAUCAAGUAAUUUCUUUCAAGUAAAUGGCCUAAUAGAGACCAG
RNAcentral lists this long non-coding RNA (340 nucleotides) under Olea europaea subsp. europaea. The record is from RNAcentral. Lineage: Eukaryota; Viridiplantae; Streptophyta; Magnoliopsida; Lamiales; Oleaceae.